CCUACGGGAGGCAGCAGUGGGGAAUCUUGCACAAUGGAGGAAACUCUGAUGCAGCGAUGCCGCGUGAGUGAAGAAGGCCCUUGGGUUGUAAAGCUCUUUUGUCGGGAAAGAUAAUGA
This 117-nucleotide ribosomal RNA is filed under the name uncultured bacterium. RNAcentral's name for it is "partial 16S ribosomal RNA". It matches the Rfam family "Bacterial small subunit ribosomal RNA", at positions 338 to 454 of the family's 1533-position model. The record is from RNAcentral.